RNAcentral lists this ribosomal RNA (915 nucleotides) under uncultured archaeon. RNAcentral describes it as "SSU rRNA". It matches the Rfam family "Archaeal small subunit ribosomal RNA", at positions 1 to 922 of the family's 1478-position model. The record is from RNAcentral.
UUUCCGGUUGAUCCCGCCGGACCUGACUGCUAUCGGAUUGAUACUAAGCCAUGCGAGUCUUUGCAGUAAUGCAAGGCAUACGGCUCAGUAACACGUAGUCAACUUACCCUAUGGACGAGGAUAAUCUCGGGAAACUGAGCAUAAUACUCGAUAGAUCAUAAUGCCUGGAAUGGUUUAUGGUUGAAAUGAUUCGUCGCCAUAGGAUGGGACUGCGGCCUAUCAGCUUGUUGGUGAGGUAAUGGCCCACCAAGGCGAUUACAGGUACGGGCUCUGAGAGGAGAAGCCCGGAGAUGGGUACUGAGACAAGGACCCAGGCCCUAUGGGGCGCAGCAGGCGAGAAAACUUUGCAAUGUGCGAAAGCACGACAAGGUUAAUCCGAGUGAUUUCUGCUAAAGAAAUCUUUUGCAAGUCAUAAAACCACUAGUGAAUAAGGGGUGGGCAAGUUCUGGUGUCAGCCGCCGCGGUAAAACCAGCACCUCAAGUGGUCAGGAGGAUUAUUGGGCCUAAAGCAUCCGUAGCCGGCUCUGUAAGUUUUCGGUUAAAUCCAUGUGCUCAACGCAUGGGCUGCCGAAAAUACUGCAUAGCUAGGGAGUGGGAGAGGUAGACGGUACUCGGUAGGAAGGGGUAAAAUCCUUUGAUCUAUCGAUGACCACCUGUGGCGAAGGCGGUCUACCAGAACACGUUCGACGGUGAGGGAUGAAAGCUGGGGGAGCAAACCGGAUUAGAUACCCGGGUAGUCCCAGCCGUAAACGAUGCAGACUCGAUGAUGCAUUGGCAUAUAGCCAGUGCAGUGUCGCAGGGAAGCCGUUAAGUCUGCCGCCUGGGAAGUACGUACGCAAGUAUGAAACUUAAAGGAAUUGGCGGGGGAGCACCACAAGGGGUGAAGCCUGCGGUUCAAUUGGAGUCAACGCCGGG